AUCCUUUUGUAGUUCAUAAGCAUGAUGAUUGGGUGUUCCUGUGGUUGUACCUCCCUCAGACCUUGUUACAAUAUUGCCACCUUACCCAUCUGACA
Molecule: small nucleolar RNA, 95 nt
Filed under: Canis lupus familiaris (dog)
Lineage: Eukaryota; Metazoa; Chordata; Mammalia; Carnivora; Canidae
Also listed under: 1 other name
Description: Small nucleolar RNA U13 (multiple genes)
Rfam family: Small nucleolar RNA U13
Source: Rfam by way of RNAcentral